RNAcentral lists this long non-coding RNA (965 nucleotides) under Homo sapiens (human). Its description in RNAcentral is "HSALNT0254556". The record is from RNAcentral. Lineage: Eukaryota; Metazoa; Chordata; Mammalia; Primates; Hominidae.
GGAAGCAGGGAGGUUUCAGGCCAUGCAGGGCCUCCUGGGGGAAGGGGAGGGUAAGGAGAGCAGAAAUGGUGUCUGACCUUCACUGAAUCUGGAAAGGUCACCGGCAGCCAGAGGACAGUUAUGAAAAUGAAACGAGGCCGGGCGCUGGGGCUCACACCUGUAAUCCCAGCACUUUGGGAAGCCAAGGCAGGCGGAUCACAAGGUCAAGAGAUGGAGACCAACCUGGCCAACAUGGUGAAGCCCCGUCUCUACUAAAAAUACAAAAAUUAGCCGGGCGUGGUAGCACGCACCUGUAGUCCCAGCUACUCGGGAGGCUGAGGCAGGAGAAUCCUGUGAACCCAGGAGGCGGAGGUUGCAGUGAGCUUAGAUCGUGCCGUUGCACCCCAGCCUGGGCGACAGAGCAUGACUCUGUCUCAAAAAAAAAAAAAGAAAGGAAAUGACAUCGAGCUGCCCGUGUUGGGCACAUGUGAGGCCUCUUUCCGGGGCUCCCUCGGUGCCCUCAGGCCUCACCUUAGCCCCGGUCAACCCUGGGCAGCAGUGAACGAGGAAGACAAAGACGUCCCCCCAGCAAGGGUAUUGUACUACCUCCCAGAGGCCAGGUCCAGGGGCCAUGAUCUCUUCCUGGAGGCCUUUUAAGUUGAUAAAACAUCAGCUAAUGUCCCUUGAAACCAGCACAGUUUCUCUCCAGAGGUGCUGUCCACUCUAUGCAUCUUUCUCAUUUUUUAUAUUUUUUGUAGAGAUGGAGUCUUGCUAUUUGCACAGGCUGGCCUCUGUCUCCUGGCCUCAAGUGAUGCUCCCGCCUCAGCCUCUCAAAGCUGUGGGAAUACAGGUGUGAGCCACCACGGCCAGCACGUAUUAUUAUUUUUAUUAAUAUUAUUGAUGAGUUUCAUACGUAAAGGAUCACGGGCACUUUAGAGCUGGGAGAUACUUCAGUAUUUCUCCUAUCCUGUCAUUAUCAGUGCGAG